UGGGGAAUUGUUCGCAAUGGGCGCAAGCCUGACGACGCAACGUCGCGUGGAGGAUGAAGGUCUUCGGAUCGUAAACUCCUGUUGCCCGGGACGAAUAGCUUCGACCUAACACGUCGGAGUAUGACGGUACCGGGUGAGGAAGCCCCGGCUAACUCUGUGCCAGCAGCCGCGGUAAUACAGAGGGGGCAAGCGUUGUUCGGAAUUACUGGGCGUAAAGGGCGCGUAGGCGGCCUGUUAAGUCGAACGUGAAAUCCCUGGGCUCAACCCAGGAACUGCGUCCGAUACUGGCUGGCUUGAAUCCGGGAGAGGGAUGCGGAAUUCCAGGUGUAGCGGUGAAAUGCGUAGAUAUCGGGAGGAACACCGGUGGCGAAGGCGGCCUUCUGGACGGAUACUGACGCUGAGACGCGAAAGCGUGGGGAGCAAACAGGAUUAGAUACCCCCGUAGUCCCUGAGCGGGCUGGCAAGGCGCAU
RNAcentral lists this ribosomal RNA (471 nucleotides) under uncultured bacterium. Its description in RNAcentral is "bacterial SSU rRNA". It matches the Rfam family "Bacterial small subunit ribosomal RNA", at positions 355 to 825 of the family's 1533-position model. The record is from RNAcentral.